Molecule: non-coding RNA, 73 nt
Organism: Stegodyphus mimosarum
Lineage: Eukaryota; Metazoa; Arthropoda; Arachnida; Araneae; Eresidae
Source: Rfam
GCCUUCGUGGUGUAGUGGCUAGCACGCUCGGCGCGUAUUCGAGAGGUCUGAGGUUCGAGUCCCAGCGAGGGCA